This 433-nucleotide ribosomal RNA is filed under the name uncultured bacterium. Its description in RNAcentral is "partial 16S ribosomal RNA". It matches the Rfam family "Bacterial small subunit ribosomal RNA", at positions 29 to 507 of the family's 1533-position model. The record is from RNAcentral.
AACGAACGCUGGCGGCAUGCCUAACACAUGCAAGUCGAACGAGACCUUCGUGUCUAGUUGCGCACGGGUGCGUAACGCGUGGGAACCUGCCCUUAGGUUCGGAAUAACUCCCCGAAAUGGGUGCUAAUACCGGAUAAUGUCUUCUGACCAAAGAUUUAUCGCCUUUGGAUGGGCCCGCGUUGGAUUAGCUAGUUGGGAGGGUAAAAGCCUACCAAGGCGACGAUCCAUAGCUGGUCUGAGAGGAUGAUCAGCCACACUGGGACUGGGACACGGCCCAGACUCCUACGGGAGGCAGGAGUGGGGAAUAUUGGACAAUGGGCGAAAGCCUGAUCAAGCAAUGCCGCGUGAGUGAUGAAGGCCUUAGGGUUGUAAAGCUCUUUUACCCGGGAUGAUAAUGACAGUACCGGGAGAAUAAGCUCCGGCUAACUCCGUG